Long non-coding RNA from Pyrgilauda ruficollis (rufous-necked snowfinch), 1811 nucleotides. RefSeq lists it as uncharacterized. The record is from RefSeq and is a predicted model, not a curated record. The transcript has 2 exons. Lineage: Eukaryota; Metazoa; Chordata; Aves; Passeriformes; Passeridae.
UCUGUUACUGACGCCCCGCAUUCACCUGCGGCGGCACCUGAGGUGGGGUGGUGCCUUUUCCGCCAUGUUGGGCUUUGCCCGCCUCUGCCGCCGGCCCUCAGGCGGGUCUGGGGGAGAAAGGUCCUGCCCUACUCGCCUGGUGCACGGGGAGCAGCUCGCCGGGCGUUUGAGCCGGAACUUGGCAGGUGGAGAGGCAGGGAAAAACCUAUGGGGAAAGCUGCGGUGUAUAGAGACGUUCCCGUGUACUUAGCGCGGGUGAGGAGCGGCUCGAUUUCUGGGGCCAGUUCUGAGCCCCUGAGUUCAGGAGGGACAUGGAAGUUCUAGAGAAUGGCAACAGAAGGGCAACAGAGCUGGUGAAGCGGCUGGAGCAGAAGUCUGAUGAGGAACGGCUGAGGGUGUUUUGCCUGGAGAAAAGGAAGCUCAGAGAGAGCCUUACCGCUCUCUACAACUCCCUGAAAGGAGGUUGUAGCCAGGGGGGGGUCGGCCCCUUCUCCCAGGCAGCUGGUAACAGCUUUAGAGCACAUGGCCUCAGGCUGCAGCAGGGAGGUUUAGUCUGGACAUCAGGAGGAAUUUCUUCAUUGGAGGGAUGAUUAGACGUUGGAGCAGAAGUCACUAUUCCUGAAGGUGUUUGAAGACUGGACAUGGCACUUAGUGCUAUGGUCUGGUUGGCACGGUGUUAGGUCAUGGUUUGGAUUCGAUGAUCUCACAGGUCUUUUCCAACCUAAUUGAUUUUGUGAUUAUGGACAGCCCUUAAUUCUACUAUAGUAAUGAGUAAGUAAUAUCUCCUGAUGUCCUGAUUCCAGCUGGGGCAGUGUUAAUUUUUGCAGGUGCCAGGAGGGAGCAUGGCUCGGAUGUGCAGGUUAUUGUGUCCCACCUCACCUCAUUGUCAUUGCCAGGAGCAGGAGGAAAAGGGGUUUCUUCCUCUGGAGAAAACGUGGAGGAGGGAGCCGACUGGUAGUGUGUACUGGGAGCGGGGGCAGGUUUCUUAUCUCGUCUAUUUUUCCAGUAUAUUGUGCCUUCAAUUCUCAGCCUCAUCCUAACACAUCAGGAAGGAUGAGGGGAAGGGGGAGUGAGAGAGAGCAGUGUGUGGUUUAGGAAAGUCCCAGUGGGGGUCCUGAACUGGGAAGUACCAUUCCCAAACCAUGACACCUGGGCAGAGCCUGAUGAGGUCUGCUUUGAGGUACUGCCAACAUCCCCGUUUUCACUGAAUUUCGCUGCAGAAAGUUUAAUUCACAUGAGCUGUUUUGCUGUUCUUUUGAGUUAAUUCCUUGGAUUAAAGAAUAAUAUUAAGACUAAUACGCUAAGAGGAUAUGCCAUCAGAGGGAAAACAGAAGAGGUGAAAUUUUGUCCACAGAAGUGCUUUACUUUGUUGGUGGCUCCGAGCCCUACUCAAGCCCCUGUUGGUUUUCUUACAGAUGGCACUUUGGGAACCUAAUCCAGCUCCUCCUGCUGCAUGCAUGCCUGAAUUGAUUAGAUUGUUCUGCGGAGCUGAGAGAUUCUCCUUCCUGUUGGUCUGUACCUGUGUGAAGCAGGAGUUCACAGGAUUAGAAUGAGUCAGAAAUUAAAGUAGGAGCCCCUCCCUCAAAGUCUGGACAUCCACUUGGAAACCUUUAAAUCCCACUCCCAGUUCAAGUGAUUUGUGUGGGCAAGUGCUCCAACUAAGAGCUUGCAGCUGGACGCUGCCGUCGCUAAGAUCAGGCUUGUCAGGCUGAGAUUGUCUGGGCUAUUUUCAUCAGAUGAAAGAAAUCUUAAUUAAGUGUUCAUAUCUUUGUCAGCCAGACUCGGAAUAAAAAUUGAUGCGAUUCCCUUGA